RNAcentral lists this long non-coding RNA (482 nucleotides) under Apteryx owenii (little spotted kiwi). RNAcentral describes it as "lncRNA (ENSAOWG00000001377.1)". The record is from RNAcentral. Lineage: Eukaryota; Metazoa; Chordata; Aves; Apterygiformes; Apterygidae.
CUCAUGAUAGUCAUACUGUUCUGAGAUUUAUUUUUUUUUCAUCCUCAACCUGCUUUAAAAAAAGAAAAAGAAAAACCAGCCCACAACUCCUCAGCAACUCCUUAGUGAAAGAAAAAUGUGGCUUCUCCUGGAGUAAGAAAGACCUGUUUGUAGCGUUGUCUGUGUGUAAUUAACUGCCUUACCUGAAGUUUUCACAAACCAGCAGUUUGUUUCUACAGGGCAGCCAGCACCGGUGAACUGCCGUCACCGAAGCAGGGGUCUCUGCACGCCUUUCGUUUGCUGCACAUGUGUAAGGCUGCAUUGCUGGAGUAAGCCGUAACCCUUUCUGUCCUGAAGAGUCGGUUCGGCACUGCUGUGGAACGCCUCUCCAAGCACUCGGUCCCCCCAGAAUGUGCCAGCGGGAAGCGGCUCCUCUGUCAGUCCGGGGAGAUGCACUAAGACUGUUAUCUGAUCCCAAGAAAAUAACCCAAGGCAUGUACUAA